Molecule: unclassified non-coding RNA, 20 nt
Filed under: Mus musculus (house mouse)
Lineage: Eukaryota; Metazoa; Chordata; Mammalia; Rodentia; Muridae
Description: oocyte_clustered_small_RNA11394
Source: RNAcentral
GAGGGCCCUGGAAGAGCUCA